UCUCAGGCGUGAAACAGAGAGGAAAGAAAGAAAGAAAGAAAAAGAGAAGAAGAAAGAAGAAGAGGAAGGGGAUUCGAGGAGGAAAGGGAUCCCGGUUGCACUUCCAGCUGAAGGGAAAAGUGUAGAUCUCUUUCUCCUCUACGCAAGGACCUCGAUUUCCAAAAAGAAAAAGGUAAAUAUCCGUCCCUAUCUAGUCUUUUGAUGACAUUAGGCUAUACAAAGGGUGGAUAUAGUCUAGAGGGGUCGGAUAAGGGUUGUAGAGGCGGUUAAAAGAGGAAGAAUCGGAUUUCGACAAAUUUUUCUGGCAUUACGGAAAAACUAUGUCGAAGUCCCAACUUCGGUGAAUUAUUUCGGAGGUCAAUCGGCCUCCGAUGGUAAUGCAUGUUACCUUUUUGGAAUUUCCUAUAAGUGUAGAAUGUUAGGUAAAAAUUUCAUCAAAUUUGGAGUUUGAAAAGUGGAUCAAACCUGGGAUGAAGUAACCGGCUGUCGGUCCGGGUUACUGUUCAUCCGGGUGGGAAAAUAGGGGAUUUCAUGCCAUAAUAGGGUAUUAAGCCUAGAUCAAGCUAAAAGGGACCUUGUACUCAUGCAAGGGAGUUCCUAAUACACAUAAAUG
Molecule: long non-coding RNA, 613 nt
Filed under: Phoenix dactylifera (date palm)
Lineage: Eukaryota; Viridiplantae; Streptophyta; Magnoliopsida; Arecales; Arecaceae
Description: long non-coding RNA (PDAC_LNC000652)
Source: RNAcentral